This 465-nucleotide ribosomal RNA is filed under the name uncultured bacterium. RNAcentral describes it as "partial 16S ribosomal RNA". It matches the Rfam family "Bacterial small subunit ribosomal RNA", at positions 339 to 795 of the family's 1533-position model. The record is from RNAcentral.
CUACGGGGCGCUGCAGUGAGGAAUAUUGCGCAAUGGGGGAAACCCUGACGCAGCAACGCCGCGUGAGUGAUGAAGGCCUUCGGGUCGUAAAACUCUGUCAAGUGGGAAGAACCUAUGUAAGGUUAAUACCCUUAUGUACUGACGGUACCACUGAAGGAAGCACCGGCUAACUCCGUGCCAGCAGCCGCGGUAAUACGGAGGGUGCAAGCGUUAUUCGGAAUUAUUGGGCGUAAAGGGCGCGUAGGCGGUUUUGUAAGUCAGAUGUGAAAGCCCGGGGCUUAACCUCGGAAGUGCAUUUGAUACUGCAAGACUUGAGUAUGGGAGGGGGAAGUGGAAUUCCUGGUGUAGAGGUGAAAUUCGUAGAUAUCAGGAGGAACACCAGUGGCGAAGGCGACUUCCUGGACCAAUACUGACGCUGAGGCGCGAAGGCGUGGGGAGCAAACAGGAUUAGAUACCCUUGUAGUC